CAGUCGCCACGGGAAUACGUAGGGUGCAAGCGUUAAUCGGAAUUACUGGGCGUAAAGCGUGCGCAGGCGGUCCGCUAAGACAGAUGUGAAAUCCCCGGGCUUAACCUGGGAACUGCAUUUGUGACUGGCGGGCUAGAGUAUGGCAGAGGGGGGUAGAAUUCCACGUGUAGCAGUGAAAUGCGUAGAGAUGUGGAGGAAUACCGAUGGCGAAGGCAGCCCCCUGGGCCAAUACUGACGCUCAUGCACGAAAGCGUGGGGAGCAAACAGGAUUAGAUACCCGAGUAGUCCCUGUCUCUUAUAU
This 301-nucleotide ribosomal RNA is filed under the name uncultured bacterium. Its description in RNAcentral is "partial 16S ribosomal RNA". It matches the Rfam family "Bacterial small subunit ribosomal RNA", at positions 509 to 809 of the family's 1533-position model. The record is from RNAcentral.